CCCGCUGAACUUAAGCAUAUCAAUAAGCGGAGGAAAAGAANCCAACAGGGAUUNCCUCAGUAACGGCGAGUGAAGCGNUAACAGCUCAAAUUUGAANUCUGGCUCUUUCAGGGUNCGAGUUGUAAUUUGUAGAAGAUGCUUUGGGCAUUGCUCCGGUCUAAGUUCCUUGGANCAGGACGUCAUAGAGGGUGAGAAUCCCGUAUGUGACUGGUGGCAUUUGUCCGUGUAAAGCUCUUUCGACGAGUCGAGUUGUUUGGGAAUGCAGCUCAAAAUGGGUGGUAUAUUUCAUCUAAAGCUAAAUAUUGGCCAGAGACCGAUAGCGCACAAGUAGAGUGAUCGAAAGAUGAAAAGCACUUUGGAAAGAGAGUUAAACAGUACGUGAAAUUGUUGAAAGGGAAGCGCUUGCAACCAGACUUGCAGGUCGUUGAUCAUCCGGGGUUCUCCCCGGUGCACUCGGCGGCUUUCAGGCCAGCAUCGGUUUGAGUGGUGGGAUAAAGGCCUUGGGAAUGUGGCUCCUCUCGGGGAGUGUUAUAGCCCAAGGUGCAAUGCCGCCUACUCGGACCGAGGACCGCGCUUCGGCUAGGAUGCUGGCGUAAUGGUUGUAAGCGACC
Molecule: ribosomal RNA, 611 nt
Filed under: uncultured fungus
Lineage: Eukaryota; Fungi
Description: eukaryotic LSU rRNA
Rfam family: Eukaryotic large subunit ribosomal RNA
Source: RNAcentral